UACGAGAGGCCCAAACGUUAUUCGGAUUUAUUGGGCGUAAAGAGCUCGUAGGCGGCUUGUCGCGUCGGCUGUGAAAACCCGCGGCUCAACUGUGGGCGGGCAGCUGAUACGGGCAGGCUGGAGUUCGGUAGGGGAGACUGGAAUUCCUGGUGUAGCGGUGAAAUGCGUAGAUAUCUGGAGGAAUACCGGUGGCGAAGGCGGCAUCCUGGACCGGCAUUGACGCUGAGGAGCGAAAGCCAGGGGAGCAAACGGG
This 253-nucleotide ribosomal RNA is filed under the name uncultured bacterium. RNAcentral's name for it is "partial 16S ribosomal RNA". It matches the Rfam family "Bacterial small subunit ribosomal RNA", at positions 524 to 776 of the family's 1533-position model. The record is from RNAcentral.